This is a long non-coding RNA of Chinchilla lanigera (long-tailed chinchilla), 494 nucleotides long. RefSeq lists it as uncharacterized. The record is from RefSeq and is a predicted model, not a curated record. Lineage: Eukaryota; Metazoa; Chordata; Mammalia; Rodentia; Chinchillidae. The transcript is spliced from 3 exons.
UGCAUAUUCACAAGAACCUGGAGAGUGCCUAGAGAACGCACUGGGGAGCCAAAGAUGUCGCCCAAGACUGGUCUAGGUCUAAGCUCUCUGUGACGUUAGCAACAUCUCUGCUCCUCUGCGAAGCUCUCAGGUCCUGGAAGGCCAGUUGCAAACCUGCCAUUAUCCAAGUCCUGAGAGUUCCAGGGGGAUUGUCAACGGUAGGGGGGACAGCUUGGCCCUGAGCCUCCAGAACCCACUUCCGGGGACUCCGGCACACAUGUGUGGGCCCCCCAGUCAUCCACAGCCCAUGGCAGGCACCUUGGACAAGAGGUGACCACCUACAUAAACAGAUGAACUUGAGACUUCUUGCGCAGUGACCAGCUGGAGUACAGAUACAACGCACCGAUAACCUGCACACUUAAUAAUGGACAGACACGGCUGUGUCUAGUAAGAAUCUUCGUGUGUUGUGUGCUGUAAUGGACGUACUUCAUGCACUUGUGUGAAAUAAAAAAACA